AUUGAACGCUGGCGGCAUGCUUUACACAUGCAAGUUGAACGGCAGCGCGGGCUUCGGCCUGGCGGCGAGUGGCGAACGGGUGAGUAAUGCAUCGGAACGUGCCCAGUAGUGGGGGAUAGCCCGGCGAAAGCCGGAUUAAUACCGCAUACGACCUGAGGGUGAAAGCGGGGGACCGAAAGGCCUCGCGCUAUUGGAGCGGCCGAUGUCGGAUUAGCUAGUUGGUGGGGUAAAGGCUUACCAAGGCGACGAUCCGUAGCUGGUCUGAGAGGACGACCAGCCACACUGGGACUGAGACACGGCCCAGACUCCUACGGGAGGCAGCAGUGGGGAAUUUUGGACAAAGGGGGCAACCCUGAUCCAGCCAUGCCGCGUGCGGGAAGAAGGCCUUCGGGUUGUAAACCGCUUUUGUUCGGGAAGAAAUCCUCUGGGCUAAUACCCCGGGGGGAUGACGGUACCGGAAGAAUAAGCACCGGCUAACUACGUG
RNAcentral lists this ribosomal RNA (484 nucleotides) under uncultured bacterium. Its description in RNAcentral is "partial 16S ribosomal RNA". It matches the Rfam family "Bacterial small subunit ribosomal RNA", at positions 29 to 507 of the family's 1533-position model. The record is from RNAcentral.